UACAGAGGUCCCAAGCGUUGUUCGGAUUCAUUGGGCGUAAAGGGUGUGUAGGUGGCGCGCUAAGUCGGGUGUGAAAUUUCGGAGCUUAACUCCGAAACUGCAUUCGAUACUGGCGUGCUUGAGGACUGGAGAGGAGACUGGAAUUCAUGGUGUAGCAGUGAAAUGCGUAGAGAUCAUGAGGAAGACCAGUGGCGAAGGCGGGUCUCUGGACAGUUCCUGCCACUGAGACACGAAGGCCAGGGGAGCAAACGGG
RNAcentral lists this ribosomal RNA (253 nucleotides) under uncultured bacterium. RNAcentral describes it as "partial 16S ribosomal RNA". It matches the Rfam family "Bacterial small subunit ribosomal RNA", at positions 524 to 776 of the family's 1533-position model. The record is from RNAcentral.